GAGACAGUCAUUGCCCAGGAAAUGUGCCAGAAAGGCCAAGGGAGGACAAGAUACUGGGCAAAAUUGCUGAGACUCAAGGAAGGCUUAAACCAUGGAGGGAUGAGGCACCCAGAGACUUGGAGUCCCCUCAUAGCAGUGGAGUAGAUGGCCUGCAGGGGGCACCUGACCGAAUCUGUGACCAGCACCUGUAGAGGUUUAUAUAAAUAAUAUACCUCCAUACCAGUUAUGUGCUAAUCAGCAGCCACAUCGACAGCCAGUGUAUGUCUGUAAAAGAACCAGUGGCAGAGAAGAACAGCAACUCAGAAUGUAAUCCUAGAAAAAUAGUCCAAUCCAACUAUAUGUUAGGAAUCAACUGCAGUGGUAAUGUCACAGUGAUCAUCUUCCUUUUCUAGUAUAGUAUACUGGCAUAAUAUAAAAGAACUAGAAAAUAUAAGUGUCCUAGAUCUCUUAGAAUAAUGACUCUGAUCUGUUAUAAACAUGAAUGUUAUGGGUGUUUUGGGUCUUUAAAUAAUUUAAAGGGAGAGUAAAAAGUAUGGUAUCAUUUUGAACUCUUAACAUCAUGCAAGGAAAGAAAUCCAGCAAGCCUGGAAAAAGCUUCAUAUGGAGAACCCAGCCCCAAUUCAUAAAACAUAUUUGAAUUGAGAUGCUCCCAAGGAAAACAAUUCUUCAGUACUUCUCAUUCAUCUGUUACCAGGACCCCUGCCCCAGUCAAUGCACAGGCCUAUAUGAAUUCUGGAGCCGGGGGCAUCUAGAGCCAUCGCACUCAGCGUGCAGGAUGGAUCUGCUUUGUGGAUCAAUCGGAAUUGUGUAGUAAAGAUGGCUGCUGACCAGAGGAAUCCUGUUUCAUUUUGUUGCAGAAAUUAGGAAGUGUGCAGUGAAUGAAGCCGAGAAUUGCAAGUUGAGAAAGGAGGUAACAUGGGUGAGUUGACUAAGCCCAGUACUAAGAGCACCUCCUGAGUUGUAAUCCGACUAUAACAGUUUCUGUGGGUUUAGUCAAUUAAUGUAUCCUCUCAGCCUCAGGGUAUUCACUUCUAAAAUAUGGAGAGAAUUCUACCUUCUGCUUACCCCACAAGGGGGUUAAUGUUUAUAAAGUGUUGUUAGAGAAAUACUGAGAGUCACCAAAUUCUACACACAACCCUGCAGUUGCUGGCAUCCUAAGCGUUCCCGCCCCCUCUCUCCAAGCUUAUCUGCAUAAAUAUCUUUUGAAAAACUAGCCUAAAUAUUGUAAUUGUGUAGAGAUCCCAGCAAAAGCUCCCUGGGACUGCAGCUCUGCAGGAGGAGGCUAGUGGUGGCGAGAAGUUCCCACAACCAUUUUCUAUAAACUUCAAAUGCUGUCACUUCAUAAACUGAUGUGAGCACAACGGAGUGAUUUUCUUGGGCGGAGGGAGGGUAAAACAGUGUUUUGCAGGCUCAGGGUAGGAGAGUUUUGUGGUUAAGGCAUGGGACUAUGAGGCAGGAAAUCUGGGUUCCUUCCUGAGUGCCAUAGACUGUGGGUA
This 1496-nucleotide long non-coding RNA is filed under the name Chrysemys picta bellii (western painted turtle). RNAcentral describes it as "lncRNA (ENSCPBG00000000732.1)". The record is from RNAcentral. Lineage: Eukaryota; Metazoa; Chordata; Testudines; Emydidae.